Molecule: small nuclear RNA, 138 nt
Organism: Photinus pyralis (common eastern firefly)
Lineage: Eukaryota; Metazoa; Arthropoda; Insecta; Coleoptera; Lampyridae
Product: U4 spliceosomal RNA
Exons: 1
Source: RefSeq, a predicted model, not a curated record
AGUUUUGUGAAGUGGCGAUAUUGUAACCGAUGAAGUAUAACUGAGGUGCAAUUAUUGCUAGUUGAAUAUAUCUCCAUAGGUGAGUGCUAUUCCCAUGAAAAAGAAAACUCUUUAAAAAAUUGGCAAGAAAGGAUUAUC